This is a long non-coding RNA of Gorilla gorilla gorilla (western lowland gorilla), 562 nucleotides long. RefSeq lists it as uncharacterized. The record is from RefSeq and is a predicted model, not a curated record. Lineage: Eukaryota; Metazoa; Chordata; Mammalia; Primates; Hominidae. The transcript has 3 exons.
AACAGUGGUGACAGCCUGAUCCGAAGGCACUUAGAAGUUGCUGGGAGGUUAUUCCCUUGGGAAAACUGUUGAUUGGAAAAAAUAUUGAAGAUGUAUGGCAUGUUUGAGUCACAAGGAAAGAGGAAGCAGGGAGGGCAGAAGGAUGAAUAAGGCCACUGCUCCAAGCACAUGAAGCAGCCCCUGAAGGGUGGGCAGUAGGGAAAGAGCCAGGGCGAAGCCUGCUCUGAAUUCUUGCCCAGAGCAUUCUAGGAGACACACUGCUUUAGAGCAAUAGAAGACCAGGGUGAUGUGAAAAAGAGACACUUCUCAAGCCUGGAGAUGAGACCUGGGUUACAGGAACUAGUGACAGGGGAGGAGAUGCAAACUGAGGCUCUGCUCGCACACUCCAUCCAUGUGGUAUAGCUUGUCUGCUUCCAAAUUAUCAGCCUGGCAAACUCAUGGUACCAAGUGAGGACAAAUGUCAUAGUCCUCCUGGGAAAUGGGCAACAGUGGAUUUUGCUAAUAACGUGGAAAGUAAUUUUUAAGUGAUAUUUGGAUUAAAAUUGUGAUUUUUAAAACAUUA